Molecule: transfer RNA, 64 nt
Filed under: Rhynchothorax sp. JZ-2022
Lineage: Eukaryota; Metazoa; Arthropoda; Pycnogonida; Pantopoda; Tanystylidae
Description: tRNA-Asn
Source: RNAcentral
UUAAUAGAAGCUAAAUUAAUAGCACUUUAUUGUUACUAAAGAGAUUGGGGUUACCCCUAUUAAG